RNAcentral lists this non-coding RNA (31 nucleotides) under Mus musculus (house mouse). The record is from RNAcentral. Lineage: Eukaryota; Metazoa; Chordata; Mammalia; Rodentia; Muridae.
UNCCUGCUUUAGAUGAUGUGGUCCUAAUUCA